UGCGUAGGCGGAAUGAUAAGUUAGUGGUGAAAUCCCUCGGCUCAACCGAGGCACUGCCAUUAAUACUGUCAUUCUUGAGUAUAGUUGAAGUGGGCGGAAUGUAUCAUGUAGCGGUGAAAUGCUUAGAUAUGAUACAGAACACCGAUAGCGUAGGCAGCUUGCUAAACUAUAACUGACGCUCAGGCACGAAAGCGUGGGGAGCAAACAGGAUUAGAUACCCUGGUAGUCC
RNAcentral lists this ribosomal RNA (229 nucleotides) under uncultured bacterium. Its description in RNAcentral is "partial 16S ribosomal RNA". It matches the Rfam family "Bacterial small subunit ribosomal RNA", at positions 568 to 796 of the family's 1533-position model. The record is from RNAcentral.